This 414-nucleotide ribosomal RNA is filed under the name uncultured Alphaproteobacteria bacterium. Its description in RNAcentral is "bacterial SSU rRNA". It matches the Rfam family "Bacterial small subunit ribosomal RNA", at positions 86 to 524 of the family's 1533-position model. Lineage: Bacteria; Pseudomonadati; Pseudomonadota; Alphaproteobacteria. The record is from RNAcentral.
CAAUACGGAGUGGCAGACGGGUGAGUAACGCGUGGGAACAUACCCUUCGGUUCGGAAUAACUCAGGGAAACUUGAGCUAAUACCGGAUACGUCCAAGGUUUAAUCGCUUUGGAGAAAGAUUUAUCGCCGAGGGAUUGGCCCGCGUCUGAUUAGCUUGUUGGUGAGGUAAUGGCUCACCAAGGCGACGAUCAGUAGCUGGUCUGAGAGGAUGAUCAGCCACAUGGGACUGAGACACGGCCCAAACUCCUACGGGAGGCAGCAGUGGGGAAUAUUGGACAAUGGGCGAAAGCCUGAUCCAGCCAUGCCGCGUGAGUGAUGAAGGCCUUAGGGUUGUAAAGCUCUUUUACCCGGGAAGAUAAUGACGGUACCGGGAGAAUAAGCCCCGGCUAACUUCGUGCCAGCAGCCGCGGUAAU